This 63-nucleotide transfer RNA is filed under the name Pterobdella arugamensis. RNAcentral's name for it is "tRNA-Gly". Lineage: Eukaryota; Metazoa; Annelida; Clitellata; Hirudinida; Piscicolidae. The record is from RNAcentral.
ACAAUAUUAGUAUAAUAAGUAUAUUUACCUUCCAAGUAAAAGGUUUAGUAAUUAAAUAUUGUA